This is a long non-coding RNA of Mus musculus (house mouse), 454 nucleotides long. RefSeq annotates it as predicted gene, 53306. Lineage: Eukaryota; Metazoa; Chordata; Mammalia; Rodentia; Muridae. The record is from RefSeq and is a predicted model, not a curated record. The transcript is spliced from 3 exons.
CCACUCAGGUGUACCCUGCCCAUAUGAGCAACAAACUGGCACCCAGACCGGGACCGAGGAAGGUCAGGAAGAUGCUGAAAGAACACUGUUUCGUGUGGAGCUCCAUGGGAAGAAAAAGAAAAGGAUUGUAUGGGGCACCGAAGCAACAGGUUUCCAGCCACUUUUUCCACGUUCCAUGCCUCUAUGACAUCAAUUUUACGUAAACCCAAGGAAACGAGUCUGAGAUAAAACAUUGUGCAGAUGUUCUGAGAGCAUUUCCAGUGCUUGGGUCUCUGAUUGCUAGUUGGGAGGAGACCUCACAUCCAGCUACCGCCUCCAACAACACAUACCAUUUUGUUUCUUCACACUCGGAGCAGCAAUGCAUAAGUUUGGGACUUAGAUAAUCUUGAUUUGUACGCGACCCAGAAGUUAAGUUGUUGUCACUAUUGAUAAAUGUUGGACCUAUGGUAGAACA